GACGAACGCUGGCGGCGUGCUUAACACAUGCAAGUCGAACGGAAAGGCCCUGCUUUUGUGGGGUACUCGAGUGGCGAACGGGUGAGUAACACGUGAGUAACCUGCCCUUGACUUUGGGAUAACUUCAGGAAACUGGGGCUAAUACCGGAUAGGAGCUCCUGCUGCAUGGUGGGGGUUGGAAAGUUUCGGCGGUUGGGGAUGGACUCGCGGCUUAUCAGCUUGUUGGUGGGGUAGUGGCUUACCAAGGCUUUGACGGGUAGCCGGCCUGAGAGGGUGACCGGCCACAUUGGGACUGAGAUACGGCCCAGACUCCUACGGGAGGCAGCAGUGGGGAAUAUUGCACAAUGGGCGGAAGCCUGAUGCAGCAACGCCGCGUGCGGGAUGACGGCCUUCGGGUUGUAAACCGCUUUCGCCUGUGGCGAAGCGUGAGUGACGGUAAUGGGUAAAGAAGCACCGGCUAACUACGUG
Molecule: ribosomal RNA, 468 nt
Filed under: uncultured bacterium
Lineage: Bacteria
Description: partial 16S ribosomal RNA
Rfam family: Bacterial small subunit ribosomal RNA
Source: RNAcentral